RNAcentral lists this ribosomal RNA (277 nucleotides) under unidentified marine bacterioplankton. RNAcentral describes it as "partial 16S ribosomal RNA". It matches the Rfam family "Bacterial small subunit ribosomal RNA", at positions 59 to 339 of the family's 1533-position model. The record is from RNAcentral.
AAGUCGAACGCGAAAGGGGGGCAACUCCUGAGUAGAGUGGCGCACGGGUGAGUAAUGCAUCGGAACGUGUCCUGUAGCGGGGGAUAACCUAGCGAAAGCUAGGCUAAUACCGCAUACGCCCUAAGGGGGAAAGUGGGGGAUCGUAAGACCUCACACUAUAGGAGCGGCCGAUGCCGGAUUAGCUAGUUGGUGGGGUAAAGGCUUACCAAGGCAACGAUCCGUAGCUGGUCUGAGAGGAUGAUCAGCCACACUGGGACUGAGACACGGCCCAGACUCC